This 429-nucleotide ribosomal RNA is filed under the name Chloroflexota bacterium. RNAcentral's name for it is "Chloroflexi bacterium partial 16S ribosomal RNA". It matches the Rfam family "Bacterial small subunit ribosomal RNA", at positions 355 to 776 of the family's 1533-position model. The record is from RNAcentral. Lineage: Bacteria; Bacillati; Chloroflexota.
UGGGGAAUAUUGCACAAUGGGCGCAAGCCUGAUGCAGCCAUGCCGCGUGUAUGAAGAAGGCCUUCGGGUUGUAAAGUACUUUCAGUCGGGAGGAAGGUGGUAAGGUUAAUAACCUUAUCAAUUGACGUUACCGACAGAAGAAGCACCGGCUAACUCCGUGCCAGCAGCCGCGGUAAUACGGAGGGUGCAAGCGUUAAUCGGAAUUACUGGGCGUAAAGCGCACGCAGGCGGUUGAUUGAGUCAGAUGUGAAAUCCCCGGGCUUAACCCGGGAAUUGCAUCUGAUACUGGUCAGCUAGAGUCUUGUAGAGGGGGGUAGAAUUCCAUGUGUAGCGGUGAAAUGCGUAGAGAUGUGGAGGAAUACCGGUGGCGAAGGCGGCCCCCUGGACAAAGAAUGACGCUCAGGUGCGAAAGCGUGGGGAGCAAACAGG